This 349-nucleotide transfer-messenger RNA is filed under the name Nitrospinaceae bacterium. It matches the Rfam family "transfer-messenger RNA". From Rfam's summary of the family: Bacterial tmRNA, also known as 10Sa RNA or SsrA, is named for its dual tRNA and mRNA-like properties. Its role is to liberate the mRNA from a stalled ribosome. Lineage: Bacteria; Pseudomonadati; Nitrospinota; Nitrospinia; Nitrospinales; Nitrospinaceae. The record is from RNAcentral.
ACNNGAUUCGACGGGAGUAUUGAGGCCAAAGUUGCAUGCACGGGAUGCCGUUGGCCCGUGAAAAAACGGCAUAAAUCAUAAUUGCCAACGAUUAUGAUCUUGCUGUAGCUGCGUAAAUAAACCCAGCUACCGUUCUCUAUUCUUCUGUCCGUGAGGUUUAGAAGAACGUCAUUUUAACGGACGAGCUUCGUGCCCAGCGUCUCGGGGGCACGCGGUGAUCGAGAGACUGGUUCGGGUGGUAUCCUGUUCGUGGGAGUAGCCCGGACGAGAUCCAAAUCGCGAACUAAGCAUGUAGACGCUUUGCGUUGAAGACUUUCGGACGGGGGUUCAAUUCCCCCCGCCUCCACCA